Molecule: long non-coding RNA, 2014 nt
Filed under: Bemisia tabaci
Lineage: Eukaryota; Metazoa; Arthropoda; Insecta; Hemiptera; Aleyrodidae
Description: lncRNA ENSSSA1UGG010005
Source: RNAcentral
GGGAAACCCAAAAAGAGAGGACAUUUUCAAAAUUAGAGCCACACUUUUGUGUUUAGGAGGAACAAGGAAAACGUUGACAAAAUCGAGAGCUUGGAAGUUCUGAUGGAUCGGGCAGUUGUAGUUGGGCAGUCGUGGGUGUGUGAGAGUAGUGGUUCAGCAAGUCCUUAGACUUCUUAGUUAGAAUCAUCUUGAACUCUUAACUUGAGAGCAUUGUGAAAUGUCUUUUCCUAUACUGUAAGAAAUUACGUUAAUCUCUGGUCCGAUAUGAACUUCCGAUUCGCAUUGUGCAAAUUGUACUCAUCUUCGGUUCGCGUGUGAAAUCUUGAAUGAAAAUGUUUAGUGUUGAGCCCCGCGUGUGAAAAAGUUGUAAUUGACGUGCGCUACUAUCAGUUUGGUUCGUGUUUUAUAUUUUAUUUCAAUAAUUUCAUUCAAUUUAUUUUUUUUUGCGAGUGAAAGCGAUAAAGUCAAUAGUUGGACAACCCUGCCCUCCGCUAGUUUCUAUUUGCCGAAAGUUCGGACUGCAUGCACGGAACUGAAGGAUACCCUACAUAAGGACAUUGUUUAAGUCAACAUUUUUUGGUCUCUCCAACAUCAUUCGACAAGGCGAUGCACGAAGACGGAAUAUGGUUACUCUGCGCACCAGAGCCGUUCCUGAAUUCUCAGAUCAUCCCUUCAUCAUGUCAAUAUUUGGUGGUCUCUCCAACAUUCGUCGAGGCUGUGCACGAAGACGGAAAGUUUUCGCUUUGCAUCAGAGCUUUUCCUGAAUAACGGAUCAUCGCUUCAUCACGGUAAAAUCUUUACAACUCCUUCCUACUCUCAGAAGUAAUUGCGAACAACUCUAACAUUUGCCUAUUCUCUCCAUUUUCAAAGUGAGCUGUUGCAGUAUCCUUCCUCUCCACUGCAAAAUUGCCUUUAAUUAUAGGUAAUUUUACCAAAUAUUUUGAUGAUUUGUCCAUUCAAAACUGUACGAUUGCCCCUUGUUGCCGUUACACCAAUUUUUUCCGGAGGAAUAUACUUUAUCUUGCUGCAACUGCAAAUGCUGGUUUUUCGCAUUCGCUUUUGUAGCGUCCAUUCAAAUAUAAUUUGAUAUACGCUGUCAGUCUGUGCAUACGCACUCGAAAGACUAAGUUUAUCUUUUCUGGUAGUCUCAGAAACAUGUAGUAAUUUUAAAAUAUAGGUCCAUUGUCUCUCAUCAAAAUAUUUUUAUCUUGUGAACGAAGCGUCCUGGAUUCGGGCUUUCCGAUAUCCCUCUGCGGAUGGAAGACGAGUCCCGGACUUUCAAGCGGGUUUCUUGGCAGAAUAAGGCAGAUUUCGCUAUUCUUUUUCAUCAUAGAAGGAAUAAUUUUUCGUUUUCACCUUUUCGAAGCACAGCCUGCUUCAAAAUUGAUUCCAUCUUAAUUUUAUUAAUUUUGUAUUAAGCAUUCACUAUUCCGGAAAACCAGAGGUGUUUUAUUACUGAGUGUCCCGUUAUUUUUUAAUGCAGUAGUAAUUUAGAAAGGGUUUCGGGGGGGGGGGGGGUGCAGACUCUAUUGAAUGCUUGUAGAGUGCAGUCUGCAGGGGGUCUGUUUUCUCAUAAUUUUACAAUUCGAACAAUUACAAUUACAAUUCGAAGUAAAGUGGUAGUCAAUAACUCUCAUGUAAUUACCAUCGUUGAGACACGAAUGAAGAGAUGAAAAAGAAAGUAAGAAGAGAUGAAAAGGUGAUGAAAAGGGGAUGAAAAGGGGAUGAAAUGUAUAGAGGGGAUGAAAAGAAGAGGGGAUGAAAAGAAGAGAGGAUGAAAUGUAAUAGAGAUGAAAAGGAGGUGUAAUGUAAAAGAGAUGAAGAAGAGAUGAAGGAGAGAUGAAGGAGAGAUGAAGGAGAGAUGAAGGAGAGAUGAAGGAGAGAUGAAGGAGAGAUGAAGGAGAGAUGAAGGAGAGAUGAAGGAGAGAUGAAGGAGAGAUGAAGGAGAGAUGAAGGAGAGAUGAGGAGAGAUGAAGGAGAGAUGAAGGAGAGAUGAAGGAGAGAUGAAGGAGAG